GUUCGAUAUUCGCAGAUAUGCUGAAAUUAAGGGACCGUCUCUAAAGUUACAUAUGACACUGUUAUACACAUUUCUAACUUCAAUAGCAUUUGAAGGGAAUGACUUAGUCACACAACCAACUGUAAAGUGUUCAUCUGGGUGUCAGAUUGUGGAUGGGAGCCAAAGGAAUUCAAAAUUAUUUACGUUGGCAGCACUCCAGUCUACCUUUUGAGCCCUCAACUUCCCUGUCACAAGAAUAAUCCUCAUCCCUCCUUUCUUCUGUACCAUUCUGCUUAUUGUGCCCUGAACAUGCAUCAUGAUUAGCAUUAUCAUCCAUCCAUCCAUCUUCUAUACCGCUUUAUCCUUUUCAGGGUCACGGGGAAACCUGGAGCCUAUCCCAGGGAGCAUCGGGCACAAGGCAGGGUACACCCUGGACAUGGUGCCAGUCCAUCGCAGGGCACAAUCACAUACACAUUCAUUCAUACACUACGGACACUUUGGAAAUGCCAAUCAGCCUACCAUGCAUGUCUUUGGACUGGGGAAGGAAACCGGAGUACCCAGAGGAAACCCCCACAGCACGGGGAGAACAUGCAAACUCCACACACACAGCGCCACGUCGGCAAUCGAACCCCCGACCCUGGUGAGGCAAACGUGCUAACUAGCAUUAUCAUCUUCAUUUCAACAAUUGUCAGGAGUUCAAGAGGUUAAUGAUUUUGAAUACUGUUAUCUAUCUAUAGAUAGAUAGAUAGAUAGAUAGAUGGGGGGGGGGGGGGGGGGGGUGAAUUAGCUAUCUCAUUGGCUCUGCUCGGGGUAUGGCUUCAGCAGGACCCUUAUUUUGGUAGAUGCAUAUUUGGUAGACGUCUGGGUGAUUCGCAGUUCCUUGCUCCCUGCCAUUCGCUUCCAUUUCCGUUCAGUCUUAGAACCGCGCGUGCAUUGUGGCGAGUUGGCGGCGGAGAUCGCGCCGGAGAUCGUGUUCAGUGAUCGCAACAUUAGCCGGUGGCUGAAUGAUAUGUAUAUGAGCCAGUGAGUCUUGGUGGGACAGGGGAAGCUAGCUGCAUUUAUUCGCUACGCUCAGUGUGCCAACACAACUUCCCUCUGGUGUAGGUAGUGUUUGAGUUUUGGUGUGACUUGAGGUGGGUUUGGAUGACCUCCUGAGCUGUAGCUGGCCUGCCUUGUUUCUGCCAAGCCUGGGCCUGUAGAAGUGCUGUUUUAAAAUCCUUAUUGUACUUCAUGGGAGAGUGACUUUAUAUUUAUGUUAAGUGUCAUAAUAAAAUGUCAUUUUUAUAUUUGUACUCAUGUCUCACACUCAUGUUCUUUACCCCGAUAGGUAAAAAUUUGGAUAAACGUUUCCCUCCACUUAGGAAUGCUAUAUAAUACGUAUACCUCUUGAACUCCUGACAGUUUUUGUAAUGAGUUUUGGUGGACUAGAUAUACUAUGCUGCUGAGCAUGUACUAAGAUUUACUCAGCUAAAAAUAAUCAACAUACUGAAAUAACAAAAAGCUGCUGCUGCAAAGAUAGAUUAAAAGGGAACCCUGUGGGCUAAAUAGAGAGCUCUCAUGUGUGUCUACAGAAAUAUACAUAUAAUCUCAUACAUAUGUACAUGUAAAAUGUACACAAUACAUAUUCACACUGUCUCUGCUACUACCAAAACACUAAGCAUUAUUCCUGUGGAAAUAUUCUGUUUUAAGGCCUGGUUUAGAAAAUGCAGUUAGGUAUUGACCCAAACUCUUUUUUUUUUUUUGGUUAAUUCAAAGAGAGAAAAUGUUGAGAAAGAUGAGAAUUGAUUAGGUGAGUGAGGGGCACAAUAAACUCAAUGAAACAAAAGGAAAGAAGAGAUGAAGACUAUCCUUGUGAUUGGGAAGAUGAUCAUGCUAGUAAUGAUGAUGCAUGUUCAGGACACAAUAAACAAUGGUACAGAGGAAAGGAAGAACCAGGAUUAUUCUUGUGACAGGGAAGUUGAGGGCUCAAAAAGUUACAUAUGGCUUAAUAGUUUGAUUUAAUAAAUAUAAAAAAUCUAAAAGGUGUGCGUCACACCUGACGCCUAGAUGAACACUUUACAGUUGGUUGUGUGACUGUAAGCCAUUCCCUUCAAAUGCUAUUGUAGUUAGAAACGUGUUUAACACUGUUGUAUGUAACGUUAAAGACAGUCCCUUAACCCCGACCCAUUUCUCCUUUUAGGAAAAAUAUGGGGAAUAUGAAACUGACCAAAUGGACCACAUAGAACACAUUUCUGAAGUUGUUUUUGAAAUACAACUUCUCCUUGUGAGAGAUCUGUAAUGUUACAUGUAUGUCACAUUGGGUGUUUAGAGUAAAUUUUGUUACGUUACAUUGGGUGUUUAUUCCUCAACUGGAAAUUUUUUUUUAUUUUUUUUUGCGUAAUAACAGAUUUUCCUGUUUAUUUGCUUUUCCACAACAUAUGAAAAUGAUUACUUUGCUGGGUAGGUAUAACAAAAAUAUUUUUCAGAAUAGUUUUAGCAUUUUAUUUGCUUUACCACAACAUAUUUUAAAACUACAUAACUGUGACCAUUAAGUUUAAAAACAAUUUUUCAGAGUUUUUUUCCACAUCUCAAAACUAUAACUUUGAUGGUUAUAGUUAUGUAGUUAUACAACAACUUAAUUUGAAAAGGAAAAAAAAAACAAACAAACAAAAAAAACAGCCUUUUUACUUGCAUUUCCAUAACAUAUCAAAAUGAUAACUUUUCGGGAAAGGCUUAACCACAAAUUAAAACAUGAAUAUGUGCAAACUGAAUAAAAUAAAUAACUACCUCACACUGGAGGUCUUCUCAACAAGCUAAACAUGUAAAUAGUGCAACAACAUUGUAAAAACAUGUCCCUUGCUUGGCAAAACUUCUCAUUUUCAAGCUGACAACCAGCUAAGCGAUUGCAAUGGAGUGUUCCUACAAAGUAGAUCUGUCGCUGAAGAAGCUGGAGAACCAGUGCUGGAGAGGAAAAAAAAAUU
Molecule: long non-coding RNA, 2939 nt
Organism: Ictalurus punctatus (channel catfish)
Lineage: Eukaryota; Metazoa; Chordata; Actinopteri; Siluriformes; Ictaluridae
Source: Ensembl